RNAcentral lists this small RNA (3289 nucleotides) under Pan troglodytes (chimpanzee). Its description in RNAcentral is "retained intron". Lineage: Eukaryota; Metazoa; Chordata; Mammalia; Primates; Hominidae. The record is from RNAcentral.
AUCUGGAACUUUUGGUUGGUGCCUGCCAGACCCUAGCACAGUGCUCAGCCGUCUCCACCUCUGCUCUCUCGGGCUUUUGCCUCCAGACACCCUCGUGCAUAGCUGGUGGGAAGUGUGGCAAGGCUGAGCUAGCUCGUCUGCCAGGUACCAGAGCAAGCCUCGGGUAAAAACAGAAGGAAAAACAAGUUUAUUAUCAGAGCCACAGAGCCUCGUGGAUGGUCGGGUGUGAAGGAAGCGUGGAUAUCAUUUAUUUAAUCCAGGGCCUCUGGAUAAAGGGCCGACAUCAGAAUCACCCACAUUGGCUUCCUCCAAAUGUAGACACCUCUGCAGCACCCUUGCAGGUGUGAGAUCGGCAGGGGUGAGUGAGGUCAUAUGCAAGUUGAUGACUCCCCAGGUGAUUGGAGGGUGUAGCUCUGUGCCCCUCUUUUUGUGGCUGGGAGAACAGAGUUCUCUGCAAGAGCAAGGGGCUUGCUCAGGGACGUGCAGCAAAUUAGCACUGGAAGCAGGGUGAAAAUCCAGAUUGUUUGCCUGUCUGGCGGGCUUGCUUUCCACUGUUUCUUUCCCCACCCCCACCACCCCAACCCCCUGCCACUUUUUCUUUUUUGCCUCUGUGACAUCAGAUACUCCCUGCCCUCAUCUUGCUCAGAGCUACGCACCCACCCCACCAUGACACCUGCCCAUCAACCCCACAUCUCCUCCAUUCCUGUGGUCCCACAAGGUCUCCCUGGUUCUCUUUGUUCAAGUUGGGUUUAUUCUGGCUUUGGCUGUCACCUCCUGGCCCUAAGGCAGAAACCUGAGGCCUCUUCACCUAGAGGUAACUAAAGAUACUGAGGACAGCUUCCUGUAUUGCCAUUUGUGGGCUACUGCAUUUUGAAAGAGAGAGCAUGCUUUAAGCCAAACAAAUCAUAAAUAAUGCACGAGGUGGUAGCAAGGCGGUGAGAUGUUUGAGCUGUACGGCAUUCUCAUGUGCCUCACGCUGCAUCUAUGACCUCUAGCUCCAGUUGGAAACCUGGGUGAUCCUGGAGCCUUCGGACUGCUCUCUGGGCUGAAAGUUAUGGCAGGCUGUGCUGUGCUCCUAACAACCAAGGACUUGGGGAUGACUUAGAUCCAAUGGAUAACUGCAGAUCAUAAAUCUGACUUGCUGUUGAGAGCUGGCAAGGGGAGAGGUGGCUACAACAUUUCUCCCACUAGCAAGGAGUAGAUAUAUCAGGAUAUCUGCCAUGUAGUAUGUUUUAAUGGUCCUUUUUGUUGAUCAUGAAACAAAUAAGAUAAUAUUUAUUUUCACUCAUUCAAUAAGUACUUAUUGAGCACUUUAAAUAUUCUAAGAUUUAUACAGCAGGCAGAUAAUCCAGAAAUAAAUAUGUUCUCAAUAAGCACACAGUCCACAGAAAAGAAAGAUAAGCACAAUACAACUCUUAUAACAGAUGGAUGAGAAAAGUGCAUGGAGGCCAGACGCGGUGGCUCACGCCUGUAAUCCCAGCACGCUGGGAGGCCAGGGCAGGAGGAUCACCUGAGGUGAGGAGUUCGAGACCAGCCUGGCCAACAUGGUGAAACUCUGUCUCUACUAAAAGUAUAAAAAAUUAGCUGGGCAUGGUGGUGGGUGCCUGUAAUGUCAGCUACUUGGGAGACUGAGGCAGGAGAAUCGCUUGAACCUGGGAGGCGGAGAUUGCAGUGAGCCGAGAUCAUGCCAUUGCACUGCAACCUGGGCGACAAGAGCAAAGCUCCAUCUCAAAAAAAAAAAGAGAAAAGAAAAGUGCACGGAGAAGGUUGUGAAUAGCUCCGCAUGAGAAGUUGGGGAUGGUUUCACAAAGGAGGGGACCUCACAGGAAUCUAGAACUACUGCGAGACUGCAAAGCAGGAGAGGAUAUUAGCACAGAACUAGCCGUGGGUGAAAGACACAAUUCAGGAAGAGGGAAGAGGAAGAAAAGUUCACAGAUUCUAACAUACCACAGUGUGUAGCAGAAGUUUUUCUGGCCAACCAAAUGGAAAUGAGGUGAGAAAGCCUGGAUUGUGAAGGCCCUUGCAUGUCACGUGAACAGAGUUGGGGCUUCAUCCUAAGGGGAGUGUGGAGCAUUGAAGAGUUUUCAGCAGGGAAAUGGCAGGAUCCUAACUGUGUUUCAAAAGUACAGCCCUGGGGACAAUGCGGUUGAUACACUAAAUCCUCCAAUAUUUAUGUUUGGUUUUGGAUGACCUGGAAGGUCUUGUUUCUAACCCAGACUUGUAGAGAACAUGCGCAUAUCUCAUGGAGGCUGUCUUUGUUGGCCCUGAAUGAGUUUUCCAACGCUCUCUCCCCAGGAAUACCACCCUCCACCACCGGCAGCUCAAAAGACAGAGACAGUUGAAAUAAGGCAUGUUCCUUACAUCUGUGUAGACUUUUAAACUCACAAGAUGUUCUGAAAUACAUUAGAUAAUGUAAUAUUCACAAACCCCUGACUGGUGUUAUUAUCCUCAACCUACAAAUUAAGAAACUGAGUCUCAAGUAAGGGAAAUGGUUGUUUACACACCUGUAAAUAGCAAAAUGGACAGCCAGCUCUAGAUAGCUCACUUUGAGGCCAGGAUUCCUUCCACUGCUCGGCUACUUCUUCCAGGCAUCCCACUCCCUCUUCCCUGGCUCCUGAGCAGCUGACGACAGUCAGUGAGAAAGCCAAUGGGCGGGAGAGUCAGGAUUUGGAAUACCUUUGACAUCUUCUUGAGUUUCUUUACUCAGUCUUUAUUUAAGCUGUACUUAAAAAUAUGGCUCCAAUGACGGCUCUAGGUUUGCUGGAUUUGCAUAUUCUGAACCUCAUUCUCUUUCUUUCAGCUGGAGAGGACUUUACCUCUGUGGUCUCAGAAAUCAUGAUGUACAUCCUUCUGGUCUUCCUCACCUUGUGGCUUCUCAUCGAGAUGAUAUAUUGCUACAGAAAGGUCUCAAAAGCCGAAGAGGCAGCCCAAGAAAACGCGUCUGACUACCUUGCCAUCCCAUCUGAGAACAAGGAGAACUCUGCGGUACCAGUGGAGGAAUAGAACAGGAGCGGUGUGACAUGAGGCCAGCUAACCCUCAGAGCCAGCAAUGCUCUGUGCUUCCUCCCUGCGUCACGGCUUGGCAAGAGCUGCCUCUGCUGAGCAGUGUGUGUGAUGGAGAGGGAGGCCGCUGAAGGCCGAGUGCUUGCAGGCUUGUGAACUGCCAUCGAACACAAUCCAAACUCUGGAAAUGUUCCUGACCACCUAAGCCCUCAACAAUGUAAUGCCUGUAUGUGCUGUUUUUCAGUAAACUCCUUGUUCAUGUCAAUAAAGUAUCCCUGAAAACCAC